Molecule: ribosomal RNA, 252 nt
Filed under: uncultured bacterium
Lineage: Bacteria
Description: partial 16S ribosomal RNA
Rfam family: Bacterial small subunit ribosomal RNA
Source: RNAcentral
UACGUAGGGGGCGAGCGUUGUCCGGAAUUACUGGGCGUAAAGCGCGCGCAGGUGGUCUGUUAAGUCAGAUGUCAAAGUUCGGGGCUCAACCCCGUAUCGCAUUUGAAACUGGCAGACUUGAGUGCAGGAGAGGAAAGUGGAAUUCCUAGUGUAGCGGUGAAAUGCGUAGAUAUUAGGAGGAACACCAGUGGCGAAGGCGACUUUCUGGACUGCAACUGACGCUGAGGCGCGAAAGCUAGGGGAGCAAACAGG